CAACAGGCUGUUCUUUUCCUGCUCUGUUAGCUAUUUGAUAGGCAGAGGGAUAUAUUACCGCCGUCUGAUUGCUUUACAAGCCGUUGGCACCAGACCGUCUGCCUCAGGUUUCUGAGAAAGAGAAGACUGACUGUUAGUGGGAUGCCCUGACAAUACACCUACCGCACAGUGGAAACAGAACCCAAACGAGGCCGUUUUCCAGAACUUCCUGGAGUUCUGUUCCCUGAAAUUCCAAGAGUCCUGCCGGAAAUCCAACAUGAGGCAACAGGCCGCCCCCCCGAAAGGGUCGCAGAGUGUGAAUAAGUCCACAGAGCGAACAUGGCUGAGGCCGACAGACGGACUGAGUCAGCGCCACAUUCCAGUGGAGUCAACCAUCCACUUUACCCUCCGCACACGCACCCCUCCGCACACACACACACACCCACACACACCCACACCACACACACACAUGCAUCACCUCUUUAUACGCUUUUUCUCUUGCACACAGCACACUUUACAGGUGUGCCAGGUUUAUACCAUCCACUUUAUCCUGACAAAAUAAUACCCCUUUGCUGUAAUCCAAACCACAGAUCACUCAGUCUGUGUUACUCAUCUGCACAUACACACUGUUUGCUCAUCUCUCUUUUUAUUUCAGACUCAGUCUUGUUGUUGCUGUCCAAAUGCAAACGUGUGAAGUUUGAGAUCUUUUAGAUACAAAGAGAGAGAGAGCUCCUUCCUUCUUUUUUUACCACUGUAGCCUCCUGGUUUGUCCACUCUCUCUCCCAGUACAAGAGAGCUGCCACAUGACAAAGUCUGGGUAUCUCACAGUGUGCUAUCUCGCUCUCUACCACACAAACACUGAUCAACACCAGCCAUACAGCAGGCUGGCGUCUGAAAACCCUCGCACCUUUCCGACAGUCGAAUUAGAGCGGGGAGCGACAUUCACACCCCUGCUUCGUGCUGUGAUUGACCUGCUGUGCAGAGGUGAGAGAGGAGCCACUAUUUCUGUCGCUUUUCAUGUGAACGACCUCUCCUGCCUCUGUACGAUGGUCUGCUUUUCACUAGUUCUGUUUGAUCAUAACCCGACCCUAUAAUGCGUGGCCGGAGGUAGGUGGACACUGGCUGCUUGGUCAGAUCUUUGAACAGGCCUGUCCAUUUGUUUAUGGUCUUUGCUUUAAAGGGCAGGUUCACAAUAUUUCAAGUCUGUCUUUAACCAGAUCGCACAUGUCCAUUUGUACCUUGAGGGCAUGAUUGGUCACUUUAAUCGUUGUUCCUUCUUGUCCAUACUGGACUCAAAGUGACCCCUUCCUAAAGCUAAUUUAGUGUAAGUGACGGGCAUUUUUCAAGCCUAUUAAGAUAGUUGUCUCUUUAUACUUCUGGUCACAUGGUGUACUUGACUCUUACUCCUUCUUUCCCACUUAAAGCAGCACUGUGUAACUUUUGCUGAGCGGCGACAACAGUGGCGUCUGCAGCCCCGAGUGGUAAUUACACAACAGAGGCACAUUAAACUCUGUUCCACUCACUCCACCAGGAGUGGGAACAAAAGAGCCGCCAUCCCUAUUACAAGUCAGUGCACCAUUAAAAUGAUUAAGAUGAAUUAUCUGCAUAAUGUUGCUGUAAAGUGAAACUGAGUGCAGUGCAGUCGAUCCAGUCCAAUACAGUAAAAGACACGUACUGUAGAAAUAUUUACAUAAACUCAUUGUCCUGUGUAUACAAAUAUAUCAAUGUGUAAUUUUAACAUUAUUUUAAAAAGCACUGGUAAAAUCUGCAACUGAA
Lates calcarifer (barramundi perch) is the source of this 1755-nucleotide long non-coding RNA. RefSeq lists it as uncharacterized. The transcript has 3 exons. The record is from RefSeq and is a predicted model, not a curated record. NCBI's taxonomy places the organism in Eukaryota, Metazoa, Chordata, Actinopteri, Centropomidae.